AAAAUUGUCCCUAGCAUGCGUAGGUUAGUGUACUAGGAUCGCUGGUCGGCGCGGACGCGGUGGGCCGAAGGGCCUGUUUCCUCACUGU
Long non-coding RNA from Amblyraja radiata (thorny skate), 88 nucleotides. RefSeq lists it as uncharacterized. NCBI's taxonomy places the organism in Eukaryota, Metazoa, Chordata, Chondrichthyes, Rajiformes, Rajidae. The record is from RefSeq and is a predicted model, not a curated record. The transcript has 3 exons.